Molecule: transfer RNA, 66 nt
Filed under: Gromphadorhina oblongonota
Lineage: Eukaryota; Metazoa; Arthropoda; Insecta; Blattodea; Blaberidae
Description: tRNA-Leu
Source: RNAcentral
GCUAUUUUGGCAGAUAAGUGCAAUGGAUUUAGAAUCUAUGAAUGUAAGUUGAUAUUACAUAUAGUA